CAGACAAAAACCACCUGAAGAGAGCGGAUUCACUUUAAUGCGGAUAAGAGGAAUUUGUGGAAGUGCUAAGUUGUUUAUCUCAUACAGAAGGGCUUUCAAGAGUACGGAUGCCUAUCAAUACUCAGUUGCAGGAUGGGUCAACGACACCAAUAUAUGGCAUCUGGAAACAAAAAACAUAUUUGUGAUCACAGGACAUGUCAAUCAUUCCCAGGCUCUGAACACAAAAGCAACAUGUCCAUGGAUAGUGGUGCAGGAGAUCGGGACAGUGGUGAUGGCACAUUGCACAUGUAUGGCAGGGUUGGGAGAGGUGUGUUCCCAUGCUGCGGCACUGAUGUUCACAGUUUUGGCUGCUGUUGACAAGAGAGAAGGACAGACAUGCACCGAGAAGCCAUGCGCAUGGACAAAGCCUAGCAUGAAAAAGUUAAAUAUGAUAAGCUGUCUAACAUAUUUGCUAAGCAAGAGCAAGAAACUCAAGACCAUUUGCAGCACAUGAGACCAUCCGCUGAUGAGUUCAAGUUCUUCUGUGAACAGCUCCACCAAAGCGAAGACCAAGAGGCAAAGCCCAAGAAAAGUGCGAUCCUGUCAGUCAUCGAAGGCCAUUCCCUCAGAUACAUGCCCAAGACUGUACAGUUGGAUCUGCCAACACCUCUGAUCACUCUGUAUGCAAGCACCAGGCUUGAAAUGGAUUUGCCUGCACU
Molecule: long non-coding RNA, 698 nt
Organism: Conger conger (European conger)
Lineage: Eukaryota; Metazoa; Chordata; Actinopteri; Anguilliformes; Congridae
Exons: 3
Source: RefSeq, a predicted model, not a curated record